GGCGCCUGGGCACAAAGAGGAGCACGGGAGAAGGAUUUACUCCACUAUACGAAUUUCUUACCACGCAAGUCGUCGUCUAUAGAGCUCGUGCACCUACGUCAUCAAAUCACGUCACUGGCCGGAAGUGCCGGUCAAGCAAACCAUUCUUCAUUGCUAAAUCGAUUGGAGACGCAAAAAUACGUCUUAGAGCACGACACGCAGUUUUGUUAAACAUUUAGAAGGUGAUAAUAAAUGAAGGUAUGUAGAAAAAUGAGAGACACUCGGCAUAAAGGACCCAUAUUCUAUGUUUUCGCCGAUAAGAAAUUGGACUUUUAUCCCGCUUGUCCUGGACAACUGGAUCUAGUGACCCAGGAGUCAAGAUCCCACCUAGCGUGUUGACCAAGCAGACGCCGACCAUGUCCAGCGAGAGCAGAGUGUCGUACACGUGCUCCCCGCCGACGUGGUUCAUGAACACGUGGUAGAGCACCGAGCCCACCGUGGGGCUGAGGCAGGCCAGGUAGUGGACCACCCCGAUCCAGACGCUGUCCACCUCCCUCCAGGGGAUGCUGAAGGGCAGCAGCACCAGGAACAGGAAGAAAGGGAUCCCUGAGGAACGCCAGAGAGGGUGUAAAUGCAGUUUGAGGUGCUGGCGGAUGUGAAGCUGACCCGGCAUCCGCUCGGGGUCGUCCGGCCGCUCCGAUCCCCCGGCCGCGUCGGAGUCAAACGAGAGUCCGCCGGCGACCCUGAGGUCAGACGAGAG
Syngnathoides biaculeatus (alligator pipefish) is the source of this 739-nucleotide long non-coding RNA. RefSeq lists it as uncharacterized. The transcript has 3 exons. NCBI's taxonomy places the organism in Eukaryota, Metazoa, Chordata, Actinopteri, Syngnathiformes, Syngnathidae. The record is from RefSeq and is a predicted model, not a curated record.